GACGAACGCUGGCGGCGUGCUUAACACAUGCAAGUCGAACGAAGAGCGAUGGAAGCUUGCUUCUAUCAAUCUUAGUGGCGAACGGGUGAGUAACGCGUAAUCAACCUGCCCUUCAGAGGGGGACAACAGUUGGAAACGACUGCUAAUGCCGCAUACGAUCUGACCUCGGCAUCGAGGAUAGAUGAAAGGUGGCCUCUAUUUAUAAGCUAUCACUGAAGGAGGGGAUUGCGUCUGAUUAGCUAGUUGGAGGGGUAACGGCCCACCAAGGCGAUGAUCAGUAGCCGGUCUGAGAGGAUGAGCGGCCACAUAGGGACUGAGACACGGCCCAGACUCCUACGGGAGGCAGCAGUGGGGAAUCUUCCGCAAUGGACGAAAGUCUGACGGAGCAACGCCGCGUGAGUGAUGACGGCCGUCGGGUUGUAAAGCUCUGUUAAUCGGGACGAAAGGCCUUCUUGCGAAUAGUUAGAAGGAUUGACGGUACCGGAAUAGAAAGCCACGGCUAACUACGUG
Molecule: ribosomal RNA, 510 nt
Filed under: uncultured bacterium
Lineage: Bacteria
Description: partial 16S ribosomal RNA
Rfam family: Bacterial small subunit ribosomal RNA
Source: RNAcentral